This 460-nucleotide ribosomal RNA is filed under the name uncultured Campylobacterota bacterium. RNAcentral's name for it is "bacterial LSU rRNA". It matches the Rfam family "Bacterial large subunit ribosomal RNA", at positions 1369 to 1807 of the family's 2925-position model. The record is from RNAcentral. Lineage: Bacteria; Pseudomonadati; Campylobacterota.
UCAUCGUAGGGUUAGUCGGGUCCUAAGCUGAGUCCGAAAGGGGUAAGCGAUGGAAAAUCGGUUAAUAUUCCGAUACCAACUAUAGAGCGUGAUGGGAGGACGCAUAGGGCUAUGUGAGGUCACUGAUGGAAUAGUGGCUCGAAAGGUGUAGGCUGGGAGAGAAAGGAAAAUCCACUCUCCUAUAGCUGAGACCUGACAGGCUGUGGAGGCUCUUAGGAGCCAAAACAGAAUCACAGAUGCCGAAGUGCCAAGAAAAGUCUCUAAGCAUAUCUAUAGUUGCCCGUACCGUAAACCGACACAGGUGGGUGAGAUGAGAAUUCUAAGGCGCGUGGAAGAACCAUUGUUAAGGAACUCUGCAAACUAGCCCCGUAUCUUCGGUAGAAGGUGUGCCUACUUGGGUGAAGCCCCUAGCGGGUGGAGCCUGAGAGGUUGCAACAAAGAGUCCCUCCCGACUGUUUAC